RNAcentral lists this transfer RNA (84 nucleotides) under Ameiurus melas (black bullhead). RNAcentral describes it as "tRNA-Leu". It matches the Rfam family "tRNA". Rfam says of the family: Transfer RNA (tRNA) molecules are approximately 80 nucleotides in length. Their secondary structure includes four short double-helical elements and three loops (D, anti-codon, and T loops). Lineage: Eukaryota; Metazoa; Chordata; Actinopteri; Siluriformes; Ictaluridae. The record is from RNAcentral.
GUCAGGAUGGCCCGAGGCGGUCUAAGGCGCGCGUUCAGGUCGCAGUCUCCCCUGGAGGCGUGGGUUCAAAUCCCACUUCUGACA